This 231-nucleotide long non-coding RNA is filed under the name Musa acuminata (dwarf banana). RNAcentral describes it as "long non-coding RNA (MACU_LNC003649)". The record is from RNAcentral. Lineage: Eukaryota; Viridiplantae; Streptophyta; Magnoliopsida; Zingiberales; Musaceae.
UGGGACCCGAUACACCAAAGAUGCAGGAGUGACUGGUGCAAGUGUGUUGUUAGUCCAUGAACAGUACUCAAUCACGGUGCAAAGCAACAGUCAUUGGCCCCUCCAUGAUUCACGGCAAAUGCUAGUCUACCAAACAAGCACGACAGCAAUCAGCCUGCCGAUGUGCUUCUUCUGCCUCAUUCGGCUCACACUGCAGCAUUGCCGGCACCCACCACCACAAUAUCAAGAAGA